This 391-nucleotide ribosomal RNA is filed under the name uncultured bacterium. RNAcentral describes it as "bacterial SSU rRNA". It matches the Rfam family "Bacterial small subunit ribosomal RNA", at positions 144 to 518 of the family's 1533-position model. The record is from RNAcentral.
UAACGACUGGAAACGGUCGCUAAAACUGGAUAGGAUCAUUUGAGGUCAUCUCGAAUGAUUUAAAGGGGCUUUCAAGCCACACUUAGAGAAAGCCUGCGGCGCAUUAGCUAGUUGGUGGGUAGAGGCCUACCAAGGCGAUGAUGCCGUAGCCGGACUGAGAGGUCGAACGGCCACAUUGGGACUGAGACACGGCCCAAACUCCUACGGGAGGCAGCAGUAGGGAAUUUUCGGCAAUGGGGGAAACCCUGACCGAGCAACGCCGCGUGAAUGAAACGACGUAUUUCGGUAUGUAAAGUUCUUUUAUUAAGGAAGAAUAUCACGGAUAGGAAAUGAUCUAUUGAGUGACGGUACUUAAUGAAUAAGCCCCGGCUAACUAUGUGCCAGCCGCAGC